Molecule: ribosomal RNA, 383 nt
Filed under: uncultured eukaryote
Lineage: Eukaryota
Description: partial 18S ribosomal RNA
Rfam family: Eukaryotic small subunit ribosomal RNA
Source: RNAcentral
CAAUAGCGUAUAUUAAAGUUGUUGCAGUUAAAAAGCUCGUAGUUGGAUUUCUGGUAGGAGUGACCGUGCCAGACUUGAUUGUCUGUGUAUUGUGUUGUCUCCAGCCAUCCUUGUGGAGAACUUUUCUUGCAUUAAUUUGUAGGGAUUGGGACCCGCAUCGUUUACUGUGAAAAAAUUAGAGUGUUUAAAGCAGGCAAUCGCUUGAAUACAUUAGCAUGGAAUAAUAAGAUAGGACUUUGGUACUAUUUUGUUGGUUUGCAUACCAAAUUAAUGAUCAACAGGAACAGUUUGAGGAUAUUCGUAUGAACAUGUCAGAGGUGAAAUUCUUGGAUUUUGAUCAGACGAACUACUGCGAAAGCAUUUAUCGAGGAUGUUUUCAUUAA